AGUUAACGCUAGCGGCGUGCUUCAGGCAUGCAAGUCGAACGAGAAAGUUUCUUCGGAAACGAGUAUAGUGGCGCACGGGUGAGUAACACUUAGUUAACCUACCUUUUCGCUGGGGAUAACUGGAGGAAACUCCAGCUAAUACCGAAUAUACCGUAAUUGUCCAUGGAUUUUUACGGGAAAGCCUUUGGCGCGAAAAGAGGGGACUGAGUCCCAUUAGCUUGUUGGUAGGGUAAAAGCCUACCAAGGCGACGAUGGGUAGCUGGUCUGAGAGGAUGUCCAGCCACACUGGAACUGAAACACGGUCCAGACUCCUACGGGAGGCAGCAGCUAGGAAUAUUGCGCAAUGGGGGAAACCCUGACGCAGCAACGCCGCGUGAGUGAUGAAGGCCUUAGGGUUGUAAAGCUCUUUUAAUAGGGAAGAAAAAAAUGACGGUACCUAUAGAAAAAGCACCGGCAAACUUCG
Molecule: ribosomal RNA, 463 nt
Filed under: uncultured Pseudomonadota bacterium
Lineage: Bacteria; Pseudomonadati; Pseudomonadota
Description: bacterial SSU rRNA
Rfam family: Bacterial small subunit ribosomal RNA
Source: RNAcentral